This is a long non-coding RNA of Gadus morhua (Atlantic cod), 732 nucleotides long. RefSeq lists it as uncharacterized. The transcript is spliced from 2 exons. The record is from RefSeq and is a predicted model, not a curated record. NCBI's taxonomy places the organism in Eukaryota, Metazoa, Chordata, Actinopteri, Gadiformes, Gadidae.
CAGAAGCUACGCAGGCCACGCUCAGCCUGUCGGCUCGGAGAGGAAGUGCAGUCGCGUUGCUCUUCCAGUCUUUUCGGAUCUCAGCCAGAGAAGCGAGGGCAGCUGUGUGUUAAGGAGAAGAUGAAAACCAGAGAAAAAAACCCAGAGUGAAACCUGUGAAAAAGGAAAAAGAGUCGGAGCACUUACCCAGUGGAGGUCAGGAGCCAAGUGGCUGAACGAAGGAGAGUUACGUCGGUAAGACGAGUUAAUUAUCCGAUGAAAAGAUAGCUUGACGCUUACCGUCGUCGUCCAUGCUAAUGCUAGCUCUGUGCUUAGCAGGCUAACUGCUUGCCUGUCCUCCGGAGAGCUGCUACGAGGUUCGGCAUCGGCAUGCUCCACCUUGAUACACAGAGCAACGGUCAGGUUUUUUAGAGGACUGAAGAGUCUGAGGUUCAGGACAACUUCCUGCUGUAAAAGAACUACCCUGAUUGAAGAUUAGCACCGAGGAGAUAUUCACGUACACACUCAUUCACACAAAUAAUACACUCACAUUACACUACAAGGAACCUUGGAAUCAGGUGAACUUGCAACAACUCCUUUUAUUUUAAGUGCCCCAACAGACAUUUUUGUUUUAAGUGUGCACACUACUUUUUUUUAUUUUUCUUACUGUUUGGUAUAAUAUUUUGCAGUUUGUACGAACCAGACAAAUUACUUUGUUCACUGUAAAAUAUAAGAGUGGCUACUCAAUUGUUA